GACGAACGCUGGCGGCGUGCUUAACACAUGCCAGUCGAACGGUGAAGCUCCAGCUUGCUGGAGUGGAUCAGUGGCGAACGGGUGAGUAACACGUGAGCAACCUGCCCCUGACUCUGGAAUAAGCGCUGGAAACGGCGUCUAAUACUGGAUACGAGAAGGGUCCGCAUGGGCACUUUCUGGAAAGUUUUUCGGUUGGGGAUGGGCUCGCGGCCUAUCAGCUUGUUGGUGAGGUAAUGGCUCACCAAGGCGACGACGGGUAGCCGGCCUGAGAGGGCGACCGGCCACACUGGGACUGAGACACGGCCCAGACUCCUACGGGAGGCAGCAGUGGGGAAUAUUGCACAAUGGGCGAAAGCCUGAUGCAGCGACGCCGCGUGAGGGAUGACGGCCUUCGGGUUGUAAACCUCUUUCAGCAGGGAAGAAGCGAAAGUGACUGUACCUGCAGAAGAAGCACCGGCUAACUACGUG
This 468-nucleotide ribosomal RNA is filed under the name uncultured bacterium. Its description in RNAcentral is "partial 16S ribosomal RNA". It matches the Rfam family "Bacterial small subunit ribosomal RNA", at positions 28 to 507 of the family's 1533-position model. The record is from RNAcentral.